Molecule: non-coding RNA, 73 nt
Organism: Ixodes scapularis (black-legged tick)
Lineage: Eukaryota; Metazoa; Arthropoda; Arachnida; Ixodida; Ixodidae
Source: Rfam
GCCUGGUUAGCUCAGUUGGUAGAGCGCUCCACCUGUAAUGGAGAGGUCCCGGGUCCAAUUUCCGGACCAGGCU